RNAcentral lists this ribosomal RNA (253 nucleotides) under uncultured bacterium. RNAcentral's name for it is "partial 16S ribosomal RNA". It matches the Rfam family "Bacterial small subunit ribosomal RNA", at positions 524 to 776 of the family's 1533-position model. The record is from RNAcentral.
UACAUGGGGUGCAAACGUUGCUCGGAAUUAUUGGGCGUAAAGCGCACGUAGGCGGUUCGUUAAGUCGGAUGUGAAAGCCCUCGGCUCAACUGAGGAAGUGCACCCGAAACUGGCGAGCUUGAGUACGAAAGAGGAUCGCGGAAUUCCCGGUGUAGAGGUGAAAUUCGUAGAUAUUCGCAAGAACACCAGUGGCGAAGGCGGCUCACUGGCCCGAUACUGACGCUGAGGAGCGAAAGCGUGGGGAGCGAACAGG